This 2282-nucleotide long non-coding RNA is filed under the name Trifolium pratense (red clover). Its description in RNAcentral is "long non-coding RNA (TPRA_LNC012969)". The record is from RNAcentral. Lineage: Eukaryota; Viridiplantae; Streptophyta; Magnoliopsida; Fabales; Fabaceae.
AAACAAAAUAAAUGAAAACUUAACUUAUAUUAUUAUAUUGAAAAAACUAACAAGUCUUACAAAUAUGUCAAAAUAAUGACAAAGUACAUCAAAAUACCAAAACAAUACCUAUUCAAUUCUUCCAAAAUUUAAACUGCGCCAAGUAACUUAGAGCAGAACAAACUCGUAUAAACUUGAAAGCAAUAUUAAAGUCAUUGCUUACUUCUAAUAUCCACCCCAAAAUUACAAAUCAAUAAACUUCAACAAAACAUACAUGUGCAUCACCUCCUAGCUACCAGUCAAUAAGCUGCAGUCCAACUAAAUAAUAAUAGCCACUAAUCUGCAUGCAUCUCCCCGAUAAGACCACAUUACCAACUUUUGCACUUGAUGGAGUAAAGCAUAUUUUCAACCUAAACUGAAACCAAUUAUAGUUAGCAUUUCAACAAGAAGGUUAAAGCAUAUUUCCAAAUUUGCAUAAAUCCACACCCUAAAGCCAAAGAUUUCCAUUUAAAUUGUAGCUAAAUAAAGGACAUAUGAAAUUGUUAAUCAUUUAGUUUAGAGAAUUGGUACUCACCUACUGAUAAUAGGCUCAUAAAUCAGAACAUACCAAAUUGCUUCCCCAUCAGAAAUGUCCAAGAUGUCUUGUAUGUACAAGGUGCAAAGGAGUCAAAAGAACAUAUCAGUUUUUUCAUUGAACAUGAGAGAUGUGAUGUCCUUGAAUCCUCUAAUUUUACUACAAUUGUAGGGGGAAAAUAACAAUAUACUCAUAGCAAAGAACUUGUUUAUAACAAAAGAACAAAAACAACAAUAUACCUACUAUGAGAUAACACAUACAAGGAUAUCAUGCAAUUAUCUCUCAACCUCAUCAAGAACAUAUAUGAUGGCUGACAUUAACAUAAUAAUAAAAAUACCUCUAAAAACUAUUGUGCACGUCUGCCCCAUUAAAAUACCAAAAAAGUUAAUCAAUUUAUACUCACCAGUUACAAGAUCUAGACACUCGAUUUUUUCCUCCAAACGCCUCACCAAUCAUGACACUUCCUCUCGUUACAGGUUAUAACACCUAUACAGAAAAAGAAGAUGAAGAUACAUCUAUCAUAGAAAUUUGAAUACUAACAAACAAAGCAAAGCAUAAACCACACAAAAAUAGCCGUAGCAGUACAAUAGGAAAUAAGAAAUAUUAAAAAUCUUGCUGAAAAUAUUUAGGCUUUUAAACCAUAAGAAAUAAAUCACAAGAAACUCCAUAACUUUGGCCAAUGAUAUAUAAUUCAAGAAAAAUGCAACCUAUAUGAUAUAUCUUACAAUCCACAAACCUGUCACAUAGCCAAAUUGUGUCAGCACAGUUAUGUUUGACCCUUCAUGUCUGAAACACAGAGAAAAAUCGCUAAGAAACCAAGCCUGCAUUAUUAACUUAUGCAACAAAUCUACACAUAAAAAUAGCUAAGAGGAAAUUGAGUUCAUACUCUGCAUCUGCAGGAGGAACAGUGGCUACCAAAAUUAAGCUUGAAAAUUGCAAUAUUCUGACACAACUUUCUUGAGCUUCUAUUUCUAGGACUUUUUAAGAUGCAAAAUAAGUUCAUAAAGUGGAAAAUCCUGACCAGGAUGCUGCAAAAGCUUAACAAUUAUUUCACAUAAAAAAAUUCAAGAACAUGUGAAGCUGAGAAAAGAAAACCCAAAUUAUACUUCAGAAUUAAAUAAAAUCCAUUGAUAAAUCCACACCGAUCUAUAUACUAUAUAACCUAAACAACAAUGAAGAUAACAAAGGGAUGACAUCUGCAAUUUUUUCUUGAAGUGAUGUUGCAAUAUAAUUCAAAUGAUAUGAGACUUUAACAGUGAGCUUAGUAUUUGCUUACCUUCAAUUAAACUCAUCUCUGCAACUGCAAACAAGUGCAUCUUAAUCAAAUUGCCAACGAUGCCUCAAUAGAAGCUUGAACCCAUAAGCCUCAAGUGCAUGACACAUAGUAGGACUUGGAAAAGGUAGAAUUCUACAUCAAUGCUUCCAAUCAGUUACUCAAAUUAAUCAUGAGGCAAUUCAAAGAGUAAAGAUCAACUGGUUACAAUUGAGAGGCACAGUGGUAAAAUUAAAAAAGUUCUCAUCUCUGAAAGGAAACUCAUCUCUCUUCUUCAAACAUCAUCUCACAUCCCUCCUUUACUUGUCAACAACAAUGAAUGCAAAAGAGGAUUGUUCCACUAACUAUAAUAGAAAUUCCUGCCUUACAUAAAUACCAGACCCAAGAGAUGUGCUUAAUGUCUUAUCUACAACUGCUCCUAAGACCUCAAUAUAUCUAUAACAGAUGACAAUUCUU